This 369-nucleotide unclassified non-coding RNA is filed under the name uncultured fungus. RNAcentral's name for it is "partial contains 5.8S ribosomal RNA and internal transcribed spacer 2". The stretch from base 1 to 133 matches the Rfam family "5.8S ribosomal RNA", at positions 22 to 154 of the family's 154-position model. Lineage: Eukaryota; Fungi. The record is from RNAcentral.
UGGCUCUCCCAUCGAUGAAGAACGCAGCGAAAUGCGAUAAGUAAUGUGAAUUGCAGAAUUCAGUGAAUCAUCGAAUCUUUGAACGCACCUUGCACCCUUUGGUAUUCCGAAGGGUAUGCCUGUUUGAGUGUCAUUAAAUUCUCAAAACGACGAUAUGUUGACUCUGUCGUUGGUUUGGAUCUGAGGGCUUUGUCGGACUCUUCAACGAGGUCGACUCCCUUUAAAAGCAUUAGCGGAUUGGCCACUCGUGGAUACGCCUCGAUUUGAUAAUAUCUAUGUCGUUGCGCUGAAGCGGUAGUCUGCUCCUAAUCGUCUUCGGACAAUUUACUUUGACAAUUUGACCUCAAAUCAGGUAGGACUACCCGCUGA